UCAGUUGCUUUAUAUAGACCCGAAGCGAGGUGAUCUACUCAUGGCCAGGCUGAAAUUUCGUUAACCCGAAAUGGAGGGCCGAACCGAUGUCUGUUGCAAAAGGCUCGGAUGAGCUGUGAGUGGGAGUGAAAGGCUAAUCAAACCUCGUGAUAGCUGGUUCUCCCCGAAAUAGCUUGAGGGCUAGCCUCUUCUGAACCGUGACGGAGGUAGAGCACUGGAUGGGCUAGGGGCGUUACCGCGCUACUGAACCCAACCAAACUCCGAAUGCCGUUACUGGAUAGAAGGGAGUCAGACUACGGGCGCUAAGGUCCGUGGUCAAAAGGAAAACAGUCCAGACCGUCAGCUAAGGUCCCUAAGAAUAGGUUAAGUGGAAAAGGUUGUAGGAUUGCGAUAACAGCCAGGAGGUUGGCUUAGAAGCAGCCAUCCUUUGAAGAAAGCGUAAUAGCUCACUGGUCAAGCGAUUCCGCGCCGAAAAUUCACCGGGGCUCAAAUCUAUCACCGAAGCUACGGACUUUCAUUGAAUCCUUGAUUUGAUGAAAUUGGUAGGGGAGCAUUCUCUGAAAGGUGAAGGUUAAUCGACAAGAAUAGCUGGAUUUCAGAGAAGAGAUGAUGCCGGCAUAAGUAGCGAUAAGAGACGUGAGAAUCGUCUCCGCCGAAAACCUAAGGUUUCCUGGGCUAUGUUCGUCAUCUCAGGGUUAGUCGGUCCCUAAGCCGAGACCGAAAGGUGUAGGUAAUGGGAAACAGGUCAAUAUUCCUGUACCACCAUGGUUGCGUUUGAGUGAAGGGGGGACGCAGAAGGGAAGGCACCGCCGGGUGUUGGAUAUCCCGGUCCAAGCCUGUAGGGGGAGUGUCUAGGAAAAUCCGGACGCUCAUUACUCCGAGAGGUUAUGGGGAGGCCGUCAGGCCAUAAACGGGCCGUACCACGCUGCCAAGAAAAGCCUCGUAGCGAGUAACUAGGGUGACCGUACCGUAAACCGACACAGGUAGGUAGGUAGAGUAUACUAAGGCGCGUGAGAGAAUACUCGCUAAGGAACUCUGCAAAUUAACCCCGUAACUUCGGAAGAAGGGGUGCCUCUAUGGUAAAGGAUCUUGCAUCCUAAGCCUACGGAGGUCGCAGUAAAGUGGCUCUGGCGACUGUUUAUCAAAAACACAGGACUCUGCAAAGUCGUAAGACGACGUAUAGGGUCUGAUGCCUGCCCGGUGCCGGAAGGUUAACAGGAGAAGUUAGCCGCAAGGUGAAGCUUUGAAUCGAAGCCCCGGUAAACGGCGGCCGUAACUAUAACGGUCCUAAGGUAGCGAAAUUCCUUGUCGGGUAAGUUCCGACCUGCAUGAAUGGCAUAACGACUGGAGCGCUGUCUCAGCGAGUAACUCAGCGAACUUGAAGACCCGGUGAAGAUGCCGGGUACCCGCGACUAGACGGAAAGACCCCGUGCACCUUUACUACAGCUUGGCAUUGAGUUGUGGGCAGGUAUGUGUAGGAUAGGUGGGAGGCUGUGAAACUGUGGCGCUAGCUGUGGUGGAGCCAACCUUGAAAUACCACCCUUGCAUGUCUGCUAUUCUAACCUAGCUCCAUAAUCUGGAGCAGGAACAGUGCCUGGUGGGUAGUUUGACUGGGGCGGUCGCCUCCAAAAAAGUAACGGAGGCGCCCAAAGGUUUCCUCAGGCUGGUCGGCAAUCAGCCGUAGAGUGUAAAGGCAAAAGGGAGCUUAACUGCGAGACUGACAGGUCAAGCAGGGACGAAAGUCGGGCUUAGUGAUCCGGUGGUUCUGUGUGGAAGGGCCAUCGCUCAUCGGAUAAAAGGUACGCCGGGGAUAACAG
RNAcentral lists this ribosomal RNA (1817 nucleotides) under marine metagenome. Its description in RNAcentral is "bacterial LSU rRNA". It matches the Rfam family "Bacterial large subunit ribosomal RNA", at positions 696 to 2480 of the family's 2925-position model. The record is from RNAcentral.